This 1137-nucleotide long non-coding RNA is filed under the name Triticum aestivum (bread wheat). RNAcentral's name for it is "long non-coding RNA (TAES_LNC001918)". The record is from RNAcentral. Lineage: Eukaryota; Viridiplantae; Streptophyta; Magnoliopsida; Poales; Poaceae.
GCAACGACCUUGUGUGGGGUGGACGACGUCGUCGUCAAGGUCCAGGUCAAUGUCCUCCUCGUCCAUGGAGGGAGGGCACCUACUGCAUCCAAAACGUACAAAAAGUAAAUAAGCAAGGAUUGACAAACAAAGCAAGCAAUUUUUUACAGAGAAAUAGAAUGCCCAGCUCAGAGCAGAGUACAAUCUUUUAACUGGAAAUAUCUGCAAACUGAUGCAAGUGUGUAGAAACUUGGAUGUAUAUAUAGCAUCAAUCAAUCCUCUCAUAUUAUUCAGUGAACAUUGAGACUAUGUAAACUCGAACACUAUGAACAAGAUCUAGAAACAGUGGCAUAGCAGAGCAGCAAUAAAUUGGAAAAAAAAUUGUUUAGAUGCAUAUAGAUUGUUUCCUUACUUAAAACCGAAAGAAUUCAGAGUGAGGGCCUAGAGAGGUGCACUGAAGAUGGCAUUCUGUUGAUGAAUGCUGAACAGGGACGAUCAUCAAUGGAGAUUACACUUGCUGAUCAAAAGGCAGUGAUGGAAUCCCUUCCCCUGGCAUGAGUUUCAUACCAGUGAUGGCACUUCUUCUUGCCUGUUGAGGACUAAUCCCAGAAAUAUAUUAUUUUUCCUGAAGCUCGGUGUAGCACAACAUGGGCACGGACACAUCAGUGGCUCUCUACACGAUUGAUGUAGGUUGCAUCCCCUUGGUGACAAUGAGGACCCCAACAAUGCUUCUCCUGCAUUGUGCGACCAGUGAAUGCGGACACCAUCACAAAAUUUGUUUAGAGCGAGUUCACUGAAUUCUGUUGUGUUCCAAGUUUCAGGUUGACAUGAAGAAUUUGAAUGUUGAAUUUUUUUUACCUUUCCAUGAGCUUACCUUGUAUAUUAAAAUCAGAGCUCCAUUCUAUAAUAAUGACACAAUAUACUUCCUAUUCAUAAUUCUGAUCACAUUAACAAAUUCUUUUUCAGACAAUACAUGCAUAAAGAAGUCUAGAAAUACAUUAGAUUUUUCCUUCAAUUACGACAAUAGAGUAAAGCAUUUCAGAAGACGCGUGUUUUUUCUUAGUGUCUUAAACAAACACAUGUUUACAUGUGAGCUCACCUCCUUGUCGGAUAAAUCAUUGGACUGGAUCAAGGUCUCCAGCAGAAGCAUCCUCUCAC